This 797-nucleotide long non-coding RNA is filed under the name Fukomys damarensis (Damara mole-rat). RNAcentral describes it as "lncRNA (ENSFDAG00000032059.1)". Lineage: Eukaryota; Metazoa; Chordata; Mammalia; Rodentia; Bathyergidae. The record is from RNAcentral.
AUGCAUUUUACGUACUUAUCAUGUACUGAAAAUGGUUCCAGGAUAGCUAUGGAGGAUAUAACCUGUGGUGAGAAAAAACAAAUGGCAAUGAGGUUGACAUAUCUGAACAACCUCCAACAGCUGAGAAAUGUGAAGCUUUCCUUGUCUGCUCAGCGCCAUAGAUGGUACCCCCACAAAACCCAGCAUGCCUCUUGUGAGUUCAGUGUGGGCAUGGUGGCCUCCUGUGCUCUCGUGAUUUUGGCAGCUUACCAUAAACUAGUUGCUGUGGUUUGGACCUCAAAUGUCCACUGAAGGCGCGGUGAUGAAGCUUGGUUACCUGCCGUGGUGCAGCUCCUGGAAGGGGGGCCUAACAGAGUGUGGCCUGGUGAAGGAGGUGAGACUGUGUGAGGUGUGGCCCGGAGGGACACCAAGAACCCAGUGUCCUUCCUCAUCCUUUGUUACCCAGAUGCCAUGAGGCAAGCAGUUUUGCUCUACCACAGUUCCCUCCGUGAGGUCCCUGCCUUGUGUUCUGCCCCCAAGACCCGGGGCCGCUGACCUCUGAAAGUGAGCCAAGAUAAACUUUCCUCCUGUUAUGUUGUUUACCCUGUACUUUUGAUAGAGAUGGAGAUGACCAAUGCACUGGCAAACCUCAGGGUGCGUUGGGUUCAGUAUCUUAAAGUUUGUUUCUAAUUUCAUGAAAAAACACAUUAAGAUUGAGCCUAUUUCCUUACAAGUCUGUAUGUAGGACAGGAUUGUCUUGUGAACAAAUUAGAAACCCCCUUCUCUGUCCUCAUUGGCUUUUCUCCCUUAAAUCACCC